Molecule: ribosomal RNA, 496 nt
Filed under: uncultured bacterium
Lineage: Bacteria
Description: bacterial SSU rRNA
Rfam family: Bacterial small subunit ribosomal RNA
Source: RNAcentral
AUGAACGCUAGCGACAGGCCUAACACAUGCAAGUCGAGGGGCAGCACAAGGAGCAAUCUGAGGUGGCGACCGGCGCACGGGUGAGUAACACGUAUGCAACCUGCUUGUAAGCGGGGAAUAACCCGUUGAAAGACGGACUAAUACCGCAUAAUACUAAAUUACUGCAUGGUAAUUUAUUUAAACAUUUAUGGCUUACAGAUGGGCAUGCGCAUGAUUAGCUAGUUGGAGAGGUAACGGCUCCCCAAGGCAACGAUCAUUAGGGGUUCUGAGAGGAAGGUCCCCCACACUGGUACUGAGACACGGACCAGACUCCUACGGGAGGCAGCAGUGAGGAAUAUUGGUCAAUGGACGAGAGUCUGAACCAGCCAAGUCGCGUGCAGGAAGAAUGUCCUUAAUGGAUUGUAAACUGCUUUUGCAGGGGAAUAAAGUGCAUCACGUGUGAUGUUUUGUAUGUACUCUGCGAAUAAGGAUCGGCUAACUCCGUGCCAGCAGCGGC